RNAcentral lists this ribosomal RNA (378 nucleotides) under uncultured bacterium. Its description in RNAcentral is "bacterial SSU rRNA". It matches the Rfam family "Bacterial small subunit ribosomal RNA", at positions 292 to 694 of the family's 1533-position model. The record is from RNAcentral.
CUGAGAGGCGCACGACACACUGAACUGGACACGGUCAGACUCCUACGGGAGGCAGCAGUGGGGAAUUUUGCGCAAUGGGGGAAACCCUGACGCAGCAACGCCGCGUGGAGGAUGAAGUCCUUCGGGACGUAAACUCCUUUCGAUCGGGACGAUAAUGACGGUACCGGAAGAAGAAGCCCCGGCUAACUUCGUGCCAGCAGCCGCGGUAAUACGAGGGGGGCGAGCGUUGUUCGGAAUUAUUGGGCGUAAAGGGUGCGUAGGCGGUUUUGUAAGUCUUAUGUGAAAUCUAUGGGCUCACUCAUAGACUGCAUGAGAAACUGCAGGGCUUGAGUGUGGGAGAGGUGAGUGGAAUUCCGGUGUAGCGGUGAAAUGCGUAGA